Long non-coding RNA from Cyprinus carpio (common carp), 169 nucleotides. RefSeq lists it as uncharacterized. Lineage: Eukaryota; Metazoa; Chordata; Actinopteri; Cypriniformes; Cyprinidae. The transcript is spliced from 2 exons. The record is from RefSeq and is a predicted model, not a curated record.
GAGCGGCAGGUCGAUGGAGGCACCACAGCCAGAUAAGGGUUGGACCAAGCAUCAGGCCAGAAUUCUACAUGAGUCGGCAUCAUUUGACAACAUUUCCAAAAAAAUGGAAAAAGGGCAUGCUACACUUCUGACAUCUCAGAAUCUGAAAAUUCUAUAAAAAGAAUUCACA